GGAUCUAACUCCAAGUUUUUCUACUACUUAUCCCAAAAUGUCACCAUCCACCCUAGCCAAGCCACGUUAUAACCCUAAAAGACCUCUAAAGUGUGUGCACAAAGUGAACCGAAUGAAUUCUUAGACUACUUGCAAAAUUAUUGUUGACUUGCAUUGAUGUGUUGAUUUGAGUGAAUUACCAAAACUGAAGAGUGUAUGUGAGUAGUGUGAUGGGAUCUUAGAGUCAUGGUUGAAAAGUG
This 239-nucleotide long non-coding RNA is filed under the name Trifolium pratense (red clover). Its description in RNAcentral is "long non-coding RNA (TPRA_LNC008967)". Lineage: Eukaryota; Viridiplantae; Streptophyta; Magnoliopsida; Fabales; Fabaceae. The record is from RNAcentral.